RNAcentral lists this ribosomal RNA (513 nucleotides) under uncultured bacterium. RNAcentral's name for it is "partial 16S ribosomal RNA". It matches the Rfam family "Bacterial small subunit ribosomal RNA", at positions 28 to 523 of the family's 1533-position model. The record is from RNAcentral.
GACGAACGCUAGCGGCGUGCCUAAUACAUGCAAGUUGAGCGCUGAAGGUUGGUACUUGUACCGACUGGAUGAGCAGCGAACGGGUGAGUAACGCGUGGGGAAUCUGCCUUUGAGCGGGGGACAACAUGUGGAAACGAAUGCUAAUACCGCAUAAAAACUUUAAACACAAGUUUUAAGUUUGAAAGAUGCAAAUGCAUCACUCAAAGAUGAUCCCGCGUUGUAUUAGCUAGUUGGUGAGGUAAAGGCUCACCAAGGCGAUGAUACAUAGCCGACCUGAGAGGGUGAUCGGCCACAUUGGGACUGAGACACGGCCCAAACUCCUACGGGAGGCAGCAGUAGGGAAUCUUCGGCAAUGGACGAAAGUCUGACCGAGCAACGCCGCGUGAGUGAAGAAGGUUUUCGGAUCGUAAAACUCUGUUGGUAGAGAAGAACGUUGGUGAGAGUGGAAAGCUCAUCAAGUGACGGUAACUACCCAGAAAGGGACGGCUAACUACGUGCCAGCAGCCGCAGUAA